UAGAAAAUAAUAUAGAGGAAGUAUGGAGGGUUUUGAUCUCUCUAGCGCGGGUUCGAUUCCUGCUUUUCUAA
Molecule: transfer RNA, 71 nt
Filed under: Drymodes brunneopygia
Lineage: Eukaryota; Metazoa; Chordata; Aves; Passeriformes; Petroicidae
Rfam family: tRNA
About the family: Transfer RNA (tRNA) molecules are approximately 80 nucleotides in length. Their secondary structure includes four short double-helical elements and three loops (D, anti-codon, and T loops).
Source: Rfam by way of RNAcentral